Molecule: non-coding RNA, 855 nt
Filed under: Pongo abelii (Sumatran orangutan)
Lineage: Eukaryota; Metazoa; Chordata; Mammalia; Primates; Hominidae
Source: RNAcentral
GGAGCCCUGCCAGCUGGGCCGCCCGAGGGGCGUUGCGGGGCUCCGGGCGGGGCCGACCCGGGGGGCUGCGCCGGGCCCCACCAGCCUUGCGCCUUUUUCGCUCGGUCUCCUUGGCCUCCCGCUCCUGCGACGCCGCUUUCCUUUUCUCUUGCUCCCGAGCUCGGACCUCGGCCAGGGGCCCCGCCCGCCAGUUGGUCGCCUCCUGCAGCACCCUGGAGGCCCAGGGCCGGCGGGGCGGCGGCUGUGGGGAUCCCGGGCGCGGCCCACACCUGGGACAAUGAGCAGGAACCCAGAGACAGGGUCUUGCUGUGUUGCUGAGCUGGUCUUGAACUCCUGGCCUCCCGCCUCAGUCUCCCAAAGUGCUGGGAUUACAGGGAAUGUGACUUCACUGGACGCAGUAUAAAGAUCUUCAGAUGUCCUCCUGCCGGGGACUGCAGGGAUCACAGAAAGACCACCGAGGUCCAGGAGCUACCUGCAAGCGGAGAUCCCUCUGGACGCCCCCUGCCUCACCCAGCAAAGCCGGAUCACAACCCUGCGCUCUCAAACCUCUAAAAGGGCUUGAGGUGCUAAGAGGAAAGGAGGCCCGAGAUUGCCACGGCAUACGUGGGCUCCAAGGAGGGAGCCAGGAGUCACCGCCUGCUUGGGCUAAGGGUACCGCGUACGGAACGGCGGCGGGGGCGCGGCCCAGUUCUAGGAGAUGCGCCCAACGAAGAAGCGGAGGGACAGGGUCACGGGAUAGGGCAGACACCCGGCUGCUUUUUGUUUGCUAGACACCAGCGCCAGCCCCUGCCCGGCCCUCCCGGUCUCCUAAGGGGGGGGGGGUCUUAGGCUCCACAGCGCCCCCGACCGCCCUCC